GACGAACGCUGGCGGCGUGCCUAACACAUGCAAGUCGAGGGUUUUAGUAGUAAUACGAAGAACACUGGCGCACGGGUGAGUAACACGUAGAUCAUCUGCCCCUAACACUGACAUAACAGUUCUAACGGACUGCUAAUAUCAGAUGUGAUAAGCAAUUAUUAAAGGGUAACCGGUUAGGGAUGAGUCUGCGUCUGAUUAGGUAGUUGGUGAGGUAACGGCUCACCAAGCCUACGAUCAGUAACUGGUCUGAGAGGACGAACAGUCACACUGGAACUGAGACACGGUCCAGACUCCUACGGGAGGCAGCAGUGAGGAAUAUUGCACAAGUGGGAAG
This 334-nucleotide ribosomal RNA is filed under the name uncultured bacterium. RNAcentral describes it as "bacterial SSU rRNA". It matches the Rfam family "Bacterial small subunit ribosomal RNA", at positions 28 to 379 of the family's 1533-position model. The record is from RNAcentral.